GACGAGGGGUCCAAGCGUUGUUCGGAAUCAUUGGGCGUAAAGCGGGUGUAGGUGGAUCUAUAAGUCAGGAGUGAAAGCCCCGAGCUUAACUUGGGAAGUGCUUUUGAUACUGUAGAUCUUGAAUGUGGGAGAGGAUCGUGGAAUUCCAGGUGUAGUGGUGAAAUUCGUAGAUAUUCGGAAGAACACCAGUGGCGAAGGCGACUCACUGGACAUCUGUUGACGCUGAGGUGCGAAAGCGUGGGGAGCAAACAGG
This 253-nucleotide ribosomal RNA is filed under the name uncultured bacterium. RNAcentral describes it as "partial 16S ribosomal RNA". It matches the Rfam family "Bacterial small subunit ribosomal RNA", at positions 524 to 776 of the family's 1533-position model. The record is from RNAcentral.